This 253-nucleotide ribosomal RNA is filed under the name uncultured bacterium. RNAcentral describes it as "partial 16S ribosomal RNA". It matches the Rfam family "Bacterial small subunit ribosomal RNA", at positions 524 to 776 of the family's 1533-position model. The record is from RNAcentral.
UACGUAGGGUGCAAGCGUUAAUCGGAAUUACUGGGCGUAAAGCGUGCGCAGGCGGUUCGUUGUGUCUGUGGUGAAAGCCCCGGGCUUAACCUGGGAAUGGCCAUGGAAACUGGCGAGCUGGAGUGUGGCAGAGGGGGGUGGAAUUCCGCGUGUAGCAGUGAAAUGCGUAGAGAUGCGGAGGAACACCGAUGGCGAAGGCAGCCCCCUGGGUUGACACUGACGCUCAGGCACGAAAGCGUGGGGAGCAAACAGG